AAUCAACGCUGGCGGCGUGCCUAACACAUGCAAGUCGAACGCGAAAGCCCCGCAAGGGGUAAGUAGAGUGGCAAACGGGUGAGUAACACGUGGGUGACCUGCCUUCGAGUGGGGGAUAACGUCCCGAAAGGGACGCUAAUACCGCAUGACAUCCUGCUUUUGAAAAAGCGGAGAUCAAAGCUGGGGAUCGCAAGACCUAGCGCUUGAAGAGGGGCCCGCGCCUGAUUAGCUAGUUGGUGGGGUAACGGCUCACCAAGGCGACGAUCAGUAUCCGGCCUGAGGGGGCGGAGGGACACACUGGAACUGAGACACGUCCCAGACUCCGAGGGGAGGCACCAGUGGGGAAUUGGUCGAAAGGGGCGCAAGCCUGCCGACGCAACGCCGCGGGGAGGACGAAGAUCUUCGGGUCGUAAACUCCUGUCGAGGGGGACGAACGCUUCGCGGAUGAAUAAUCCGCGGAAUUGGCGGUACCGCAAAAGGAAGCCCCGGCUAACUCCG
This 498-nucleotide ribosomal RNA is filed under the name uncultured bacterium. RNAcentral's name for it is "partial 16S ribosomal RNA". It matches the Rfam family "Bacterial small subunit ribosomal RNA", at positions 29 to 505 of the family's 1533-position model. The record is from RNAcentral.